RNAcentral lists this ribosomal RNA (402 nucleotides) under uncultured bacterium. RNAcentral's name for it is "bacterial SSU rRNA". It matches the Rfam family "Bacterial small subunit ribosomal RNA", at positions 355 to 774 of the family's 1533-position model. The record is from RNAcentral.
UCGGGAAUUUUGGGCAAUGGGCGAAAGCCUGACCCAGCAACGCCGCGUGAGGGAUGAAGUAUUUCGGUAUGUAAACCUCGAAAGAAUGGGAAGAAUAAAUGACGGUACCAUUUAUAAGCUCCGGCUAACUACGUGCCAGCAGCCGCAGUAAUACGUAGGGAGCAAGCGUUGUUCGGAUUUACUGGGCGUAAAGGGCGCGUAGGCGGCGCGGUAAGUCACUUGUGAAAUCUCUGAGCUUAACUCAGAACGGCCAAGUGAUACUGCUGUGCUAGAGUGCGGAAGAGGCGACCGGAAUUCUUGGUGUAGCGGUGAAAUGCGUAGAUAUCAAGAGGAACACCUGAGGCGAAGGCGGGUUGCUGGGCCGACACUGACGCUGAUGCGCGAAAGCCAGGGGAGCAAACG